GACGAACGCUGGCGGCGUGCCUAAUACAUGCAAGUCGAACGCUGAAGGCGGAGCUUGCUCUUCUGGAUGAGUUGCGAACGGGUGAGUAACGCGUAGGUAACCUGCCUGGUAGCGGGGGAUAACUUUUGGAAACGAUAGCUAAUACCGCAUAACAGUAGAUGUUGCAUGACGUUUACUUAAAAGGUGCAAUUGCAUCACUACCAGAUGGACCUGCGGUGUAUUAGCUAGUUGGUGGGGUAAAGGCACACCAAGGCGACGAUACAUAGCCGACCUGAGAGGGUGGUCGGCCACACUGAGACGGGGACACGGCCCAGUGGCCCACGGGAGGGAGCAGGAGGGAAUCGUCGGCAAGGGGCGGAAAACUGACCGAGCAACGCCGCGGGAGGGAAGAAGGAUGUCGGAUGGGAAAGCUCGGUUGUAAGAGAAGAACGAGUGUGAGAGUGGGAAGUUCACACUGUGACGGUAACUGACCAGAAAGCAACGGCUAGCUACGUG
Molecule: ribosomal RNA, 495 nt
Filed under: uncultured bacterium
Lineage: Bacteria
Description: partial 16S ribosomal RNA
Rfam family: Bacterial small subunit ribosomal RNA
Source: RNAcentral